RNAcentral lists this ribosomal RNA (498 nucleotides) under uncultured bacterium. Its description in RNAcentral is "partial 16S ribosomal RNA". It matches the Rfam family "Bacterial small subunit ribosomal RNA", at positions 30 to 523 of the family's 1533-position model. The record is from RNAcentral.
AUUGAACGCUGGCGGCAUGCCUUACACAUGCAAGUCGAACGGUAACAGGUCUUCGGAUGCUGACGAGCGGCGAACGGGUGAGUAAUACAUCGGAACGUGCCUAGUAGUGGGGGAUAACUACUCGAAAGAGUGGCUAAUACCGCAUGAGAUCUACGGAUGAAAGCAGGGGAUCGCAAGACCUUGUGCUACUAGAGCGGCCGAUGGCAGAUUAGGUAGUUGGUGGGAUAAAAGCUUACCAAGCCGACGAUCUGUAGCUGGUCUGAGAGGGCGAUCAGCCACACUGGGACUGAGAAACGGCCCAGACUCCUACGGGAGGCAGCAGUGGGGAAUUUUGGACAAUGGGCGCAAGCCUGAUCCAGCAAUGCCGCGUGCAGGAUGAAGGCCUUCGGGUUGUAAACUGCUUUUGUACGGAACGAAAAGCCCCGGGUUAAUACCCUGGGGUCAUGACGGUACCGUAAGAAUAAGCACCGGCUAACUACGUGCCAGCAGCCGCAGUAA